AAAGAAUUAAAUAGAUGAAAUAUGAAGUUUUAUUAAAAGAAAAAGGGGUGAAAAGAACAAAGUUUUGUCCAUCUUUGUUCAUCAUAGCUGAAAGUUAGAGAAGAGAAAGGAGAGGAGAAAGCUCUUGAGUAUUCGGUCAUUAGGAGGAGGAAAAUUGAAGGUAAUCCCCAACCAUAGUGGGCUUGGAGCUGUGAGGGAAUUCGGAGUGGCCACCCGUUCUGAAAGUUUGAUUUUCUUCUAGUGAACUGGACAUCCUUUUAUUACGUUUGAGGUUUUGGGCUUUUAAAUGUAAUAAGGCUGCUUAUUUAUUUU
Molecule: long non-coding RNA, 312 nt
Organism: Gossypium arboreum
Lineage: Eukaryota; Viridiplantae; Streptophyta; Magnoliopsida; Malvales; Malvaceae
Exons: 2
Source: RefSeq, a predicted model, not a curated record